CGAAGGUUGCAAGCGUUACUCGGAAUUACUAGGCGUAAAGGGCAGGUAGGUGGUUUGGUAAGUCUAUUGUGAAAGCUCCCGGCUUAACUGGGAGAGGCCAAUGGAUACUACCAGGCUUGAGUAUAGGAGAGGUUACUGGAAUUCCCGGUGUAGCGGUGAAAUGCGCAGAUAUCGGGAGGAACACCAAUGGCGAAAGCAGGUAACUGGACUAUUACUGACACUCAACUGCGAAAGCUAGGGGAGCAAACAGGAUUAGAUACCCUGGUAGUCCUAGCCGUAAACGAUGCACAUUAGACGUGAGGGGUAUCGACCCCUUCGUGUCGACGCUAACGCAUUAAAUGUGCCGCCUGGGGAGUACGGCCGCAAGGUUG
RNAcentral lists this ribosomal RNA (371 nucleotides) under uncultured organism. RNAcentral's name for it is "bacterial SSU rRNA". It matches the Rfam family "Bacterial small subunit ribosomal RNA", at positions 526 to 896 of the family's 1533-position model. The record is from RNAcentral.